Molecule: ribosomal RNA, 406 nt
Filed under: uncultured bacterium
Lineage: Bacteria
Description: partial 16S ribosomal RNA
Rfam family: Bacterial small subunit ribosomal RNA
Source: RNAcentral
AUUGAACGCUGGCGGCAGGCUUAACACAUGCAAGUCGAGCGAGCGGCGGACGGGUGAGUAAUGUCUGGGAAACUGCCUGAUGGAGGGGGAUAACUACUGGAAACGGUGGCUAAUACCGCAUACUAUCGGAUGAACCCAUAUGGGAUUAGCUAGGAGGUGGGGUAAAGGCUCACCUAGGCGACGAUCUCUAGCUGGUCUGAGAGGAUGAUACGCCACACAGGGACUGAGAAACGGCCCAGACUCCUACGGAAGGCAGCAGUGAGGAAUGUUGCACAAUAGGCGCAAGCCUGAUGCAGCCAUGCCGCGUGUAUGAGAAAAGCCUUAGGGUUGUAAAGUACUUUCAGCGGGGAGGCGUUACCCGCAGAAGAAGCACCGGCUAACUCCGUGCCAACAGCCACGGUAAUAC